GACGACGUUGAUAGGUCGGGUGUGUAAGCGCAGCGAUGCGUUGAGCUAACCGAUACUAAUGAACCGUGAGGCUUAACCUUACAACGCCGAAG
This 92-nucleotide ribosomal RNA is filed under the name Enterobacter cloacae. Its description in RNAcentral is "partial 23S ribosomal RNA". The stretch from base 1 to 80 matches the Rfam family "Bacterial large subunit ribosomal RNA", at positions 2846 to 2925 of the family's 2925-position model. The record is from RNAcentral. Lineage: Bacteria; Pseudomonadati; Pseudomonadota; Gammaproteobacteria; Enterobacterales; Enterobacteriaceae.